Molecule: long non-coding RNA, 296 nt
Organism: Gadus morhua (Atlantic cod)
Lineage: Eukaryota; Metazoa; Chordata; Actinopteri; Gadiformes; Gadidae
Exons: 3
Source: RefSeq, a predicted model, not a curated record
GAGAAAUAUAUCUACGACUACGAAGAUUGUUUUCCAAGCUGACGGCGCCAAUCUUCAAGAAACCACAUGCAGCUGUACAGCAGCCAAGGUUCUUUGCAACCAUCUAGUGGCCUUGUUGUUCCAGAGUGCCCAUUACAGCAUGUUGCAGGUGAGAGCUGUACCACCACCUAUGGCCUGCACAAGCUCUCUGCAAACAUGGCAUCGACCAAGGACUAAGGUAACAUUGUAGCUGCGCGGAGCUGCACCGUAUUGAAUAGACUUCCAGGCUAUUUUCAGCCGCGUUAUGAGCUGCCCCG